RNAcentral lists this transfer RNA (73 nucleotides) under Stegodyphus mimosarum. It matches the Rfam family "tRNA". From Rfam's summary of the family: Transfer RNA (tRNA) molecules are approximately 80 nucleotides in length. Their secondary structure includes four short double-helical elements and three loops (D, anti-codon, and T loops). Further hydrogen bonds mediate the characteristic L-shaped molecular structure. tRNAs have two regions of fundamental functional importance: the anti-codon, which is responsible for specific mRNA codon recognition, and the 3' end, to which the tRNAs corresponding amino acid is attached (by aminoacyl-tRNA synthetases). tRNAs cope with the degeneracy of the genetic code in two manners: having more than one tRNA (with a specific anti-codon) for a particular amino acid; and 'wobble' base-pairing, i.e. permitting non-standard base-pairing at the 3rd anti-codon position. The record is from Rfam by way of RNAcentral. Lineage: Eukaryota; Metazoa; Arthropoda; Arachnida; Araneae; Eresidae.
GCCUUUGUGGUGUAGUGAUCAGUACGCUUGAUGCGUAUUCAAGAAGUCCAUGGUUCGAGUCCUGGAAAAGGCA